RNAcentral lists this ribosomal RNA (1303 nucleotides) under Staphylococcus aureus. RNAcentral's name for it is "partial 23S ribosomal RNA". It matches the Rfam family "Bacterial large subunit ribosomal RNA", at positions 1603 to 2909 of the family's 2925-position model. Lineage: Bacteria; Bacillati; Bacillota; Bacilli; Caryophanales; Staphylococcaceae. The record is from RNAcentral.
CACUGCCGAGAAAAGCCUCUAGAUAGAAAAUAGGUGCCCGUACCGCAAACCGACACAGGUAGUCAAGAUGAGAAUUCUAAGGUGAGCGAGCGAACUCUCGUUAAGGAACUCGGCAAAAUGACCCCGUAACUUCGGGAGAAGGGGUGCUCUUUAGGGUUAACGCCCAGAAGAGCCGCAGUGAAUAGGCCCAAGCGACUGUUUAUCAAAAACACAGGUCUCUGCUAAACCGUAAGGUGAUGUAUAGGGGCUGACGCCUGCCCGGUGCUGGAAGGUUAAGAGGAGUGGUUAGCUUCUGCGAAGCUACGAAUCGAAGCCCCAGUAAACGGCGGCCGUAACUAUAACGGUCCUAAGGUAGCGAAAUUCCUUGUCGGGUAAGUUCCGACCCGCACGAAAGGCGUAACGAUUUGGGCACUGUCUCAACGAGAGACUCGGUGAAAUCAUAGUACCUGUGAAGAUGCAGGUUACCCGCGACAGGACGGAAAGACCCCGUGGAGCUUUACUGUAGCCUGAUAUUGAAAUUCGGCACAGCUUGUACAGGAUAGGUAGGAGCCUUUGAAACGUGAGCGCUAGCUUACGUGGAGGCGCUGGUGGGAUACUACCCUAGCUGUGUUGGCUUUCUAACCCGCACCACUUAUCGUGGUGGGAGACAGUGUCAGGCGGGCAGUUUGACUGGGGCGGUCGCCUCCUAAAAGGUAACGGAGGCGCUCAAAGGUUCCCUCAGAAUGGUUGGAAAUCAUUCAUAGAGUGUAAAGGCAUAAGGGAGCUUGACUGCGAGACCUACAAGUCGAGCAGGGUCGAAAGACGGACUUAGUGAUCCGGUGGUUCCGCAUGGAAGGGCCAUCGCUCAACGGAUAAAAGCUACCCCGGGGAUAACAGGCUUAUCUCCCCCAAGAGUUCACAUCGACGGGGAGGUUUGGCACCUCGAUGUCGGCUCAUCGCAUCCUGGGGCUGUAGUCGGUCCCAAGGGUUGGGCUGUUCGCCCAUUAAAGCGGUACGCGAGCUGGGUUCAGAACGUCGUGAGACAGUUCGGUCCCUAUCCGUCGUGGGCGUAGGAAAUUUGAGAGGAGCUGUCCUUAGUACGAGAGGACCGGGAUGGACAUACCUCUGGUGUACCAGUUGUCGUGCCAACGGCAUAGCUGGGUAGCUAUGUGUGGACGGGAUAAGUGCUGAAAGCAUCUAAGCAUGAAGCCCCCCUCAAGAUGAGAUUUCCCAACUUCGGUUAUAAGAUCCCUCAAAGAUGAUGAGGUUAAUAGGUUCGAGGUGGAAGCAUGGUGACAUGUGGAGCUGACGAAUACUAAUCGAU